This 82-nucleotide transfer RNA is filed under the name Candidatus Giovannonibacteria bacterium RIFCSPHIGHO2_01_FULL_48_47. RNAcentral's name for it is "tRNA-Leu". It matches the Rfam family "tRNA". Rfam says of the family: Transfer RNA (tRNA) molecules are approximately 80 nucleotides in length. Their secondary structure includes four short double-helical elements and three loops (D, anti-codon, and T loops). RNAcentral also lists the same sequence under 5 other names. Lineage: Bacteria; Candidatus Giovannoniibacteriota. The record is from RNAcentral.
GGGCGAGUGGUGGAACUGGCAGACACGCACGACUUAAGAUCGUGUGCCGCAAGGCGUGUGGGUUCAACUCCCACCUCGCCCA